GCAUGCCGCGUGAGUGAAGAAGGCCUUCGGGUUGUAAAGCUCUUUUGUCAGGGAAGAAACACCGGCUCUAACACAGUCCGGGAAUGACGGUACCUGAAGAAUAAGCACCGGCUAACUACGUGCCAGCAGCCGCGGUAAUACGUAGGGUGCGAGCGUUAAUCGGAAUUACUGGGCGUAAAGCGUGCGCAGGCGGUUAUACAAGACAGGCGUGAAAUCCCCGGGCUUAACCUGGGAAUGGCGCCUGUGACUGUAUAGCUAGAGUGUGUCAGAGGGGGGUAGAAUUCCACGUGUAGCAGUGAAAUGCGUAGAUAUGUGGAGGAAUACCAAUGGCGAAGGCAGCCCCCUGGGAUAACACUGACGCUCAUGCACGAAAGCGUGGGGAGCAAACAGGAUUAGAUACCCUGGUAGUCCACGCCCUAAACGAUGCUGACUAGUUGUUCGGGAUUUACAUCCUGAGUAACGUAGCUAACGCGUGAAGUCAGCCGCCUGGGGAGUACGGUCGCAAGAUUAAAACUCAAAGGAAUUGACGGGGACCCGCACAAGCGGUGGAUGAUGUGGAUUAAUUCGAUGCAACG
RNAcentral lists this ribosomal RNA (575 nucleotides) under uncultured bacterium. RNAcentral's name for it is "bacterial SSU rRNA". It matches the Rfam family "Bacterial small subunit ribosomal RNA", at positions 392 to 961 of the family's 1533-position model. The record is from RNAcentral.